Molecule: ribosomal RNA, 437 nt
Filed under: uncultured bacterium
Lineage: Bacteria
Description: partial 16S ribosomal RNA
Rfam family: Bacterial small subunit ribosomal RNA
Source: RNAcentral
AGCGAACGCUGGCGGCAUGCUUAGCACAUGCAAGUCGCGCGGGUGGUUUCGGCCAUCAGCGGCGGACGGGUGAGUAUCGCGUAGGAAUGUAUCCCGAGGUGGGGGACAACCCUGGGAAACUGGGGCUAAUACCGCAUGGGGCCUGUGGGUCAAAGCCUUAGGGCGCCUUGGGAGCAGCCUGCGUCCGAUUAGGUAGUUGGUGGGGUAAAGGCCUACCAAGCCUGCGAUCGGUAGCUGGUCUGAGAGGACGAUCAGCCACACUGGGACUGAGACACGGCCCAGACUCCUACGGGAGGCAGCAGUGGGGAAUAUUGGACAAUGGGCGCAAGCCUGAUCCAGCAAUGCCGCGUGGGUGAAGAAGGUCUUCGGAUUGUAAAGCCCUUUCGGCGGGGACGAUGAUGACGGUACCCGCAGAAGAAGCCCCGGCUAACUUCGUG